Panicum hallii is the source of this 2441-nucleotide long non-coding RNA. RefSeq lists it as uncharacterized. NCBI's taxonomy places the organism in Eukaryota, Viridiplantae, Streptophyta, Magnoliopsida, Poales, Poaceae. The transcript has 3 exons. The record is from RefSeq and is a predicted model, not a curated record.
AUACGGGUUCUCCUGCAAUCAGUACCAACAAGUGGGCCUCCUGAAUUGCGCCGUCUUCCACUCCCUAUCCUGCUCCCCUUCAUCCUCUCCGCACUUCCGUCUCACUCCAACAUCGCGCUCCCCUUCAAAUUGUUUUCGAGUUUGAAGCAGCUCCUCUCUGAUGCCUUCUGGGCUCUCUCAUGCUUAUCUUUUUUUUUAGAUAAGGGAGAUGUUCCAGCCUCUGCAUGCGCACACACUACUCUCAUGCUUAUCUGACGGAACUGCUAAGGUCAAAGCUGCCAGUGAAUCUAGAGUGUUCCCUCGCCUCAUGGCACUUGUGAUGUAAUUGCAAUUUUCAGUAGUCAGUUUUCCUUAUAUCAUUCUGAUAUGGCAGAUGAUUGAAUUCCAAACUCCUACUAUUUUUAAUUUAGGCACCCUUCGGUCUCAGUGCUCAUUCCAGCUCUGCGCACUGUGGGCAAUAUUGUAACUGGGGAUGAUUUGCAAACUAAGAGCUAAACUCAGUUGGCGAACCAUAGUAUAUGCAGCUCUGCAGAUUUAGGUCACAUGGAUAAUUAGCUGACACCUUGUCUAUUGCUGUUCAAGUUUAUCUUGAUUGGAAUGGAUAUGCAUCCUAAUUCCAGCCACAGAUAGGCAGUGGCACUAUGGUUUCCUUUUGCACACCUGGAUAUACUUUUUUCUUGAAAAUGUACAUCUGAAGUUCCAUUCAGACUGGUGUCAUGAAAUUUCAAUGAGUGAUCAAGCAAAGAAAAAAACAUUGUAUAAAUAAUUAAUAGUGUGUUGACUGAGAUUUAAUUUCUCUGUUAAUGACUGUAGUAUCAUUUAGUAUUGCCCAAUGCUUGGAUCGGUUCCUGAUUUUGAUCAAGGUAGCUAAACUGGAUCCAGGAAUAGCAGAUGUUCAUAUAACCCUUCUUUUUGGUGAUUGGUGAAAAUCUGGGAUUGCACAUGCAAAGAUCUGGAUAUCAGAUGAAAAGUAUCUGUAUAUAGGGUCAGCAAACAAUGAUUGGAAAUCCUUUAUUCAGUUCAGGUAUAUGAGCAAUUGGAUUAGAGUAAAAGAGAGGCGUACAGGAGGUCAAUCAGCUAGCAAGGAAUCCCCUUUCUGACUUGUUCACGGUAGACUAUGUAGAAUUUUUCCUUUUUGCAUUAUUCUACUUGGCAGUUAUGCAAAUGUUAGUGACAACGGUUGUUGCACUGAAUAAUAACACAAUGAAUAUGAAGUGCGAGAUUGUUCAAAAUCUAGAGUGCAGUAGUGCUGGUUGGUUUUCAAGCAACUGGAAGUCUGGAACUCAUUGAAAUGGUACAGUACAUACCUGCUGUGCUCAAUGGCAAUAUCAAGCUCAGAAAGGAGCAGAAAUCACUGGUGUGGACGUCCAAGACGCUGGCAUGAGACCUUCAGUGAGUAUUUGGUCGUGGUUCAGGAACAGAAAGAAACCGCAACAAGUUGGCCCGUUUAUCCCUUUUAUUGCUUUCCUUGGUAGCCUGGAAUUGAACUUCAUAAGAACGCAUAGCUUUGUGUAGAAAGCAAUUUAAGCUAUUAAUGAAGUUUUAUCCGCACGAAAAGAAAGCUAUGAAUGUUGUAUGAUCCGAGGAAGUUAUAAAAAAAAUCCUUGGAAGAGCAACUCGACAGUUAGACCCUUUUGUCAGUUCAGACAAGAAAAAAGAGUCUGCCUUUUCUACCUACAUGUCCAGACUGAGACUGUACCCGUCAUAUGAAUCUUGAACAGUGGAGAUGCAUCCUAAGAUGUUAACAGAGGCUAACUGAUGAGGACAUCACUCCUUUGGAUACAAACAAUAAUCCUCCACGGAAUGUUCAAGGUCCAAUCACUAGAGCUCGAGCACGACAAUUGAAUCUAGAGGUGAGCUCGUUCCUAAACUCCUCUUCAUAUGAUUAUGAGAAUAGAUUGCUACCGAAUAAUUAUAUUGUGAUUAGGAACCAUGGAGAAGGCCAAGGAAUACUUGGAGAAGGGCUUGGAGGCGUGGAGAACCAGCAAGGACAUACAAGUCAAGAGGGAGGCCCAAACCAACUGACCUCGGGUCUGUUUUUGGGCUCCAAGAGCAGUCUGCGCUAAAAUGGACGCCCAGGUCACAUAUGGACUCGGAUUUGGGUGAUCUUUACAUGGAUGGAAAGCUAAGAAGAUAACCUUUCAAAUGGCGCUGGUCCCAGGCCCAAAUUCAUCAGGAGUCAACGGGAAAAUAUUCCACAAGUUGAUGUCCAGAAUCUUUCUCAGUGUUGCGCCACUGUCUUUGGUCCUUUGGGCCGUGUAUCUUGUCUUGGCCCACUAGGGUUGCGACCAGGGGGUCUUGGCCGCCCCAAACUCCUCUUAUCCAGCCACAACUCCCCUCCUCUAGGGUUGGGUUUUGCUUAGUUCAUUUCUGUCAAGAACAGGACGCCGUUCUUCGGUUGUGGAACCCCACUCGUGAGUUGAAUCAAUUGCUUUCUGUGA